RNAcentral lists this ribosomal RNA (253 nucleotides) under uncultured bacterium. RNAcentral's name for it is "partial 16S ribosomal RNA". It matches the Rfam family "Bacterial small subunit ribosomal RNA", at positions 524 to 776 of the family's 1533-position model. The record is from RNAcentral.
UACGUAGGGUGCGAGCGUUAAUCGGAAUUACUGGGCGUAAAGCGUGCGCAGGCGGUUUUGUAAGCCAGAUGUGAAAUCCCCGGGCUCAACCUGGGAACUGCCUUUGGGACUACAAGGCUUGAGUGUGGCAGAGGGGGGUAGAAUUCCACGUGUAGCGGUGAAAUGCGUAGAGAUGUGGAGGAAUACCGAUGGCGAAGGCAGCCCCCUGGGAUAACACUGACGCUGAGGCGCGAAAGCGUGGGGAGCAAACAGG